GAAAGAGCCAGGAUUGGAGAAGUCAGGGGGAGGAGAUGGAAGAGAACCAGAGAACCAGGGAGCGGCUCCACUCAGGGGGCACACUCGCAGCCAGGGCUCAUCACUCAUCUAUUCAGCUCUUCAUUCAGCAAACAUUCAUCAGGACCUCGGAUAUGCCAGGCACCAUGCCAGUCGCCAAGGAUCUAGCAGUGUGAAAACCGAGGCCUAUAAAGAUUACACAGCUUGCCUGAGUUCUCACAGUUGGAAAGCGGUAAGGCCAAGCUUCAACAACAGGACUCAGAUCCUAUUCUGU
This 292-nucleotide long non-coding RNA is filed under the name Homo sapiens (human). RNAcentral describes it as "HSALNT0365307". The record is from RNAcentral. Lineage: Eukaryota; Metazoa; Chordata; Mammalia; Primates; Hominidae.